This 253-nucleotide ribosomal RNA is filed under the name uncultured bacterium. RNAcentral's name for it is "partial 16S ribosomal RNA". It matches the Rfam family "Bacterial small subunit ribosomal RNA", at positions 524 to 776 of the family's 1533-position model. The record is from RNAcentral.
UACAGAGGUCUCAAGCGUUAUCCGGAUUCACUGGGUUUAAAGGGUGCGUAGGUGGGCAGGUAAGUCAGUGGUGAAAUCUCCGGGCUUAACCCGGAAACUGCCAUUGAUACUAUCUGUCUUGAAUACCCUGGAGGUGAGCGGAAUAUGUCAUGUAGCGGUGAAAUGCUUAGAUAUGACAUAGAACACCCAUUGCGAAGGCAGCUCACUACGGGAAUAUUGACACUGAGGCACGAAAGCGUGGGGAUCAAACAGG